RNAcentral lists this ribosomal RNA (648 nucleotides) under Digitipes cf. barnabasi JJ-2011. RNAcentral's name for it is "eukaryotic LSU rRNA". It matches the Rfam family "Eukaryotic large subunit ribosomal RNA", at positions 683 to 1186 of the family's 3401-position model. Lineage: Eukaryota; Metazoa; Arthropoda; Chilopoda; Scolopendromorpha; Scolopendridae. The record is from RNAcentral.
UGCGCGAGUCACAGGUACUCGCAAAUAUUCACGAACCCUAAGGCGCAAUGAAAGUGAAGGUCAGGCAUCGCACUGACUGAGGCAGGAUCCGUCCGGGUGAGCGAAGCUCUUCUUCCCUUCGCGGGUUCGUCCCGCGGGGGAGCUCGGCGGCGCACUGCCAGCCCAUCUCGGCCGCUUCCCGUCGGCGAGGUGGAGCCAGAGCGCACACGUUGGGACCCGAAAGAUGGUGAACUAUGCUCGGGCAGGACGAAGCCAGAGGAAACUCUGGUGGAGGUCCGUAGCGAUUCUGACGUGCAAAUCGAUCGUCGGACCCGAGUAUAGGGGCGAAAGACUAAUCGAACCGUCUAGUAGCUGGUUCCCUCCGAAGUUUCCCUCAGGAUAGCUGGUGCUCGGAAAGGAACGCAGUCUCAUCCGGUAAAGCGAAUGAUUAGAGGCCUUGGGGCCGAAACGACCUCAACCUAUUCUCAAACUUUCAAUGGGUGAGAAGUCCGGCUUGCUCGACUGAAGCCCGGACCUUACAACUAUAAGUUGAUCGAAAAACGUAAUGAACGAGGGGCUUCGUGCCUGCUCGGUAGACGGAUGCGAGUGCCCAGUGGGCCAUUUUUGGUAAGCAAUUUGGGGCCCUUUGGGAAAAAGGGAGAUUGGGCC